GAAACAUUUUGUUCCAGUGAGCUCUUACCCUUUCUCUUUUGUAUUUCAGGUGCAGCUUCCCCCUGCAGAUCUACCAAUAUAAAAUCUACAGUUUGUUUUUUCAGAGAGGCACAGCAGUAUGUUUGCCACAGCCAUACCACCUGCAGGGCAUUUUAUGCACAAAUCCCCCACAGCGCUCUUUCGAGGCAUGUGUCAAAGUUGUGUUGAAGAAUGAACAGCACAGCCUUCUCCCCCUCUCUUCCCCCAGAAUAAAGGAAGAAAACAAACUCUGAUUUUAAAAACAAACCCAAAUGUUUUGUGCAGCCCAGUUGGCAAAACUGCUGAAAGCUGACAGGUAAGAUUUAAUAUAGUAACCAUCCUACCUAAUGUGUUAUUUGUUCUGGAACUGGUUUUGAUUCUGA
This 401-nucleotide long non-coding RNA is filed under the name Apteryx owenii (little spotted kiwi). RNAcentral's name for it is "lncRNA (ENSAOWG00000001073.1)". Lineage: Eukaryota; Metazoa; Chordata; Aves; Apterygiformes; Apterygidae. The record is from RNAcentral.